UACGGAGGGUGCAAGCGUUAUCCGGAUUUACUGGGUUUAAAGGGUGCGUAGGUGGGUAGGAAAGUCAGUGGUGAAAUCUUCGGGCUUAACCCGGAAACUGCCAUUGAUACUGGCGAUCUUGAGUCCGGGAGAGGUGAGUGGAACUGCGAGUGUAGAGGUGAAAUUCGUAGAUAUUCGCAAGAACACCAGUGGCGAAGGCGGCUCACUGGCCCGGUACUGACGCUGAGGUGCGAAAGCGUGGGGAGCAAACAGG
This 253-nucleotide ribosomal RNA is filed under the name uncultured bacterium. Its description in RNAcentral is "partial 16S ribosomal RNA". It matches the Rfam family "Bacterial small subunit ribosomal RNA", at positions 524 to 776 of the family's 1533-position model. The record is from RNAcentral.